AUUGAACGCUGGCGGCAUGCUUUACACAUGCAAGUCGAACGGCAGCGCGGGCUUCGGCCUGGCGGCGAGUGGCGAACGGGUGAGUAAUACAUCGGAACGUGCCCAGUAGUGGGGGAUAGCUCGGCGAAAGCCGUAUUAAUACCGCAUACGACCUGAGGGUGAAAGCGGGGGAUCUUCGGACCUCGCGCUAUUGGAGCGGCCGAUGGCAGAUUAGCUAGUUGGUGGGGUAAAGGCCUACCAAGGCGACGAUCUGUAGCUGGUCUGAGAGGACGACCAGCCACACUGGGACUGAGACACGGCCCAGACUCCUACGGGAGGCAGCAGUGGGGAAUUUUGGACAAUGGGCGAAAGCCUGAUCCAGCAAUGCCGCGUGUGUGAUGAAGGCCUUCGGGUUGUAAAGCACUUUUGGCGGGAACGAAAAGGACUGUGCCAAUACCACGGUUCGAUGACGGUACCCGCAGAAUAAGCACCGGCUAACUACGUG
Molecule: ribosomal RNA, 484 nt
Filed under: uncultured bacterium
Lineage: Bacteria
Description: partial 16S ribosomal RNA
Rfam family: Bacterial small subunit ribosomal RNA
Source: RNAcentral